UUCAGAGGGACACACCGACCCCUGUUGCUGGUCAAACUCGAGGCUGACGCUAGGGUGCACACGACAGGUUGUGAACCCAACAAGUGCUGAGAGACACAACAACUGCCUGAAGAGAGAACAGACGGAGCUCCUCCUCCUUCUGUAGUCACCUACAGACUGAAGCCCACUGGCCCCAGGUGGGAGCCCAGGCAUGUGGCACACAAUGCCCCACCCCACACUUCACAAUGCCCUCCCCGACAGCUCACAGUGCCCCACCCUGCCUGCCACCCCUCCCCAACAGCUCAGAAUGCCCCUGCCUUGGCUGCCCCACCCUGCGGCUUAUGAUGCUGCUGCUCUCCUGGCCCCUCGUGCAGUGCCAGUGGGACUAAGGUUUUCAUUCAUCACCAGCUUCCUGAGAUUUUAGUCCUAAGAAAAGCACAGGGUAGUUCAUUCCUUGAAGCCAUCUUCCUCUAUGAGUUCUAUACAAAGCCUCAGUAGAGUGGGUCCCAUUAGCAACCAAGUUGAACAACUUUUAUUUGCUGUCUGAAUAUAGAUACACCUGAAUUGUUGACUGCUUUUGUAACUAAACACUCCUCUCCUGUCUUCCAACGAGUGGUCAUUUUUGUCCGCAACUUGACCACAGCAAUCCCUGGGGCCCUAGCGCUACUCUCAAUAAAGAGUUAUGGCUGUGUGUUUUGAAUGACACCUUAGGACCCAUCCUGCCUCCACCUCCUUCUCCAUAAAAUGGAAACCUAACUUGUCCCUCUCCAAGCUCUGAAAUGCUGAAACUUACCAACUCCCUUUUCUCCCCGCUAUUUCUUCCUUCCGUGGCAGGGACUUUCAGGUUUUCUUUCUUUUACUAACAAGGCACUAAGCAUGAUUUUCUCAUACAAAAUCGAGAGCCAUAAAGUGGCUUACCACAGUCCUAUUUCAAUAAAGAUGAAUACUCGACAUCUGGCAAGUAGUGUGUGCCUGACACUGUGCUAUGCUCAUUUAACCCUCAGAAACAAUGUCAUUUUACAGAUUUUACUGAAGGAGUUGAGAUGGAGAAGGUAAGUAACCUCCCCAAGGUCACAUGGCUGCUAAGGUUGGGGCCACAAUUUGAUCCCAGGUAGUCUGAAUUCCCCAAUUCCUGAAGCAUGAUUAUCGGAAAGCACAUUAGUCUGUUUCACACUGAUAUAAAGAAAUACCUGAGGUUGGAUAAUUUAUAAAGGAAACAGGUUUAAUUGAUUCACAGUUUCGCAUGGCUGGGUAGGCUUCAGGAAACUUACAAUCAUGGCAGAAGGGGAACCAGGUCCGACUUACAUGGUGGCCGCACAGAGAGUGGGAACAUGUGAAGGAGCAACUGUCAAACAUGUGUAAAACCAUCAGAUCUCAGCUGGGCUUGGUGGCUCACACUUGUAACCCUGGUACUUUGGGAGGCCAAAGCAGGUGGAUCAACUGAGGUCAGGAGUUCGAGACCAGCCUAGCUAACUUAGUGAAAUCCCGU
Molecule: long non-coding RNA, 1468 nt
Filed under: Homo sapiens (human)
Lineage: Eukaryota; Metazoa; Chordata; Mammalia; Primates; Hominidae
Description: HSALNT0162168
Source: RNAcentral